RNAcentral lists this long non-coding RNA (237 nucleotides) under Lathyrus oleraceus (garden pea). RNAcentral's name for it is "Pisum sativum (pea) long non-coding RNA (PSAT_LNC014214)". Lineage: Eukaryota; Viridiplantae; Streptophyta; Magnoliopsida; Fabales; Fabaceae. The record is from RNAcentral.
AAUAGUGCUCUUUACUGUAUGCUACUUACAUAGCCUAUUAGAGAAAAAAAUAUUUAUGCACUGUGAUGAGUAGUAGAAUACAUGGUAUUUCUAAAAUAUAGCAAUAGUAAAAUAAAAUAAACAUAAGCAAAACAAAAUAACAAAAUAAAAUAAAAUAAUAAAAACAUAUUAUGAAGCACCCACGCAAGCAGUGACCGUUGCAAGCUGACUGUGUGACGAGCGUCACACACGCCAUCG